GGGGGUGGGGGUCGCACGCGCAUGUCCCAUACUUUCAUCUUAUGUUCAGCAUAUUUGCAAAGAGGUGUUGUACCUGCGGGGCAAGAGGAGGGGGUAGCUCGCACGAGUCCAUCAAUGAGAAGAAUUUCCACAUGUUUUUCAACGUACGAUUGAAUCGUUCUGUUUGCGUUGCGAGUCAAGGGUAAGGGGGAAGGUCGGAGGGUUUCUUGGUACUGAGCGUCAACCCAACUCAGCAAGCAUAAUCAUCACAAAUAUAUUUGUGAUCGGUACCUCUAAUAUUUCGGAUCCUUGGAAAAAUUGGACGUUCAUAGCGUUGACCAUAGCCGAAUGAACAAAUGCGCUUUGAUACUUUCAACGGAAGACGAUAAAUGGCCGAGGUUCAAGAAUUACGCGUAUGAGGAACAAGCGCCAUUCGUUAUCUGCUCCGAUUUGGAAUGCAUGCUGGAAAAACAGGAUGAUCAAGGUCAUGGAGCUUGUCGCAGAUAUCAACAUCACCGCGCCUUCAGCAUAAAAGCUAUUACCUCAAUUGUCGGUACGACACUUCCUUGUACGAGUAUCAGUUUUAUCGCGACGAAGAUGAUUGUACCGCAUGGUUCGCGACAAAGUUGUACGAGUUAAACCGUAAACUCGAGCAGUCUCGAGAAAGAAAAAAAUGCUUGUACAUUUGAACAAGUGGACGUAUAUCGAGGUCGACAUAAAUCGAUCUCUGAGGGAUUUACACGAGGAGAUGAAUUUCCAGACUUUCCCUUUACUAACAAAAUCAAGGUGGAGGAAAAUAUUUAUAAACUAUGAACACAAUGAAAAUCAGCGAUCUUUACAAAGAGUGUUCGAAGAAAUAAACUUAUUAAACUUUAUUACGAAAAUGCAAUUCGUCAAACAGUGAAGAAGAGCUUUGAAAAAAUACAGAACUGAGAAUGAAGACGAGGAACGAGGAAUAUAUUUGAGGGUAUUCACUGUCACUUGCACUGUUCUGAUUGUUUUGUUUUAUAAGUAUGAAAAAUCGAAUUAGUGCACUCCAUAUGGCUCCGGCUAGAUGUAGGCUUCAGUCAUAUAGUUUGUGUAGAGCUAUUCCGUUGACCACUGUGUUUAUUAUAGUUUUUAUUAUCUUUAUCAAAACGUAGGUACCAAUAACAACCGCACUAAUAGACCCGAAUGUCAUCAAGCCGGACCACAAUCUACCUAGCGGUUGAUUUUGCAAUUUGUUUUAAUGAUUGUUCAUCGAGCAGAUUUAGUAAACAUAUCGAGUUCGUUGCGAAUUGUCGGCCCGAGACUCCUUGUGCCAAUAGGUUGAUAAUAGAGAUCCUUUCGAUUGGGAAGAGGAUGUGUUCGUCGAGUUUUUGGAUAUCAUCCUGGGAGUAUAUUCCUCCGAGAUUUGCUGGAUUUGCGCAUUUCCAUGAUGACUUUGUUAUAGUCUGAAGUGGGGGUGAAGCCCCUAUGGAGGGGCUCUCCAUAGGUUUCGGCAGAAUUCGGUACCAUGUACCGUGGAGUUUGUAUGUGCUGUUGGUCUUAGUUCGCUGCAUUCUCUUCUGGUACCUGUUUUUAUUAACACUAUACCUAUCGCGGUCAAAGUGACCGCUCUCUUAUUUUGCAAUUCUGCAAAGUUCCGAGACU
Molecule: long non-coding RNA, 1611 nt
Organism: Megalopta genalis
Lineage: Eukaryota; Metazoa; Arthropoda; Insecta; Hymenoptera; Halictidae
Source: RefSeq, a predicted model, not a curated record